CGCUGAUAAGAUGCCGGGUCCUGCUCCGAUGGCCUCGGGAGAGGGAAGCGCUGUGCUGUGAAGCUAUGGAAACGGGCAGGCCGGGUGCGGAGCGGUAAUUGGGCCACUCGCAUCACCGCAGGUAGUUCCUCCCCUUUCCAGGAUGAUGAGAACAGCAGUGGGAGAUUUGUCCUUGAGGAGUGAAGGAUUCAGAGGGGCCUAAAGCAAACAUGCAGUACCUGUGAGGAGGUGAUGGAGAAGACAGCCAGGCUCUUCAGAGCAGUGUGUGGUGAGAGGAAGAGAGACAACAGGUAUGAGGAAAACUGUACUGUCUCCAUCCUCUGAGGUUUUCAAGCCCUACUGGACAAUGAGAUCUUGCAGCUGCCCUUGCUUGGAGCAGAAAGUUGAACUGGAGACCUCCUGAGGUCCCUUCUGACCUGAGAAAUUCUGCCACUUUAUGUUGAGGUCAACGUUCCAGGACUGCUCCUCCUCCUCACACAAUGAACUCCAAAGCAGUUUUGGGGUUCCUGAAGGCUGGAAGAAUGUGGCUGUGCCAUGUCUAAGACCAUGGAUCACCAUGCACUGGCUUAAUAAUCAAUAAUUAAUGUCUGGGGUUUGCAAGCAGUUAAUUAAUCUCCUGGUGAAUCCUGAAAAUAUGUUUAAGAGAAAUGUAGGUGUUUUCCAUCCAGGUGAGCAUAG
This is a long non-coding RNA of Passer montanus (Eurasian tree sparrow), 678 nucleotides long. RefSeq lists it as uncharacterized. NCBI's taxonomy places the organism in Eukaryota, Metazoa, Chordata, Aves, Passeriformes, Passeridae. The transcript has 3 exons. The record is from RefSeq and is a predicted model, not a curated record.